UACAGAGGGGGCAAGCGUUGUUCGGAAUUACUGGGCGUAAAGGGCGCGUAGGCGGCCGACUAAGUCAGACGUGAAAUCCCCAGGCUCAACCUGGGAACUGCGUCUGAGACUGGACGGCUCGAAUCCGGGAGAGGGAUGUGGAAUUCCAGGUGUAGCGGUGAAAUGCGUAGAUAUCUGGAGGAACACCAACGGCGAAGGCAGCUCGCUGGGGCGGUACUGACGCUAAGGCGCGAAAGCGUGGGGAGCAAACAGG
This 253-nucleotide ribosomal RNA is filed under the name uncultured bacterium. Its description in RNAcentral is "partial 16S ribosomal RNA". It matches the Rfam family "Bacterial small subunit ribosomal RNA", at positions 524 to 776 of the family's 1533-position model. The record is from RNAcentral.